UCCUGGCUCAGAUUGAACGCUGGCGGCAGGCCUAACACAUGCAAGUCGGGCGGUAACACAGGGAGCUUGCUCUGGGUGACGAGCGGCGGACGGGUGAGUAAUGUCUGGCAAACUGCCUGAUGGAGGGGGAUAACUACUGGAACCGGUAGCUAAUACCGCAUAACGUCUUCGGACCAAAGUGGGGGACCUUCGGGCCUCAUGCCAUCAGAUGUGCCCACAUGGGAUUAGCUAGUAGGUGGGGUAACGGCUCACCUAGGCGACGAUCCCUAGCUGGUCUGAGAGGAUGACCAGCCACACUGGAACUGAGACACGGUCCAGACUCCUACGGGAGGCAGCAGUGGGGAAUAUUGCACAAUGGGCGCAAGCCUGAUGCAGCCAUGCCGCGUGUAUGAAGAAGGCCUUCGGGUUGUAAAAUACUUUCAGCGAGGAGGAAGGCGGUGAGGUUAAUAGCCUCACCGAUUGACGUUA
This 468-nucleotide ribosomal RNA is filed under the name bacterium DM-D3. Its description in RNAcentral is "SSU rRNA". It matches the Rfam family "Bacterial small subunit ribosomal RNA", at positions 17 to 477 of the family's 1533-position model. The record is from RNAcentral.